ACAUGCACAGACAGCCACACCUCGCUCCUUAGGACCCCAGCCGCCAUAUGCUGCACCAAUUGGGAGCUCAACUUGCCAAGAACUCUAGAAGAAAGAGAAAAGUGGUGAAAACUGACCCCAGCACAGCACAAACAUGUUGGAAAUCUUUGAGUUGUAGACCUAAGCGAACUUUUGGAGAGAAAAUGUUCUUUCAACUGCUUUCAGGAGCGUGUAAAAUCAGCAGAUGCCAGCCAAAUGUUGCAUAAUCUCAAAGGGAGCAUCCAUUCAUCUUCAGCCUGGUCCCUGUCCUCUGGCUAAAAGGGGUAGCAAUAUUUCUGCCUGCGUCCAGGAGGGUGAAACUGUCAUGUUUUUUUUUCCCCGGCUCUGUCUGAUAAGUUCUCCAUCCCAUCUUUUCUUUAAGAGGUUUCCUGCCAGAGCUGUGCAAAGGUUGAAGUGGAUGAUGAAGAGGCUGAGCAGGGGGCCUGGCAGUGCUGCAUCCCACACAGGCGCCUCUCUUGUGGGCAUGCCGAGAGGGACAUGGCCCCCGUGAUGGAAGGUUGCUGGCAGUCUGGAGCCGGAACUACA
This is a long non-coding RNA of Sinocyclocheilus grahami, 564 nucleotides long. RefSeq lists it as uncharacterized. NCBI's taxonomy places the organism in Eukaryota, Metazoa, Chordata, Actinopteri, Cypriniformes, Cyprinidae. The transcript is spliced from 4 exons. The record is from RefSeq and is a predicted model, not a curated record.